AUCGAAUGAAGAGGUUGCGACAAUCAUGAGUCGCCAGGUCGAGAACGUACAGGUUCUGUAACGCUUGGUUAAAGGGUGCGUCGCCGAAAUGAGUUACUGCUGUAUCAGUAUCUUGUUGGGACGUUGAUGAAUAAUCAACGAACUGUCGUGGUAAAUAAAAACGCCACGGAGCGCUAUCUAACGA
This 184-nucleotide non-coding RNA is filed under the name Furfurilactobacillus rossiae. Its description in RNAcentral is "Lactobacillus rossiae Lysine sequence". It matches the Rfam family "Lysine riboswitch aptamer". From Rfam's summary of the family: Riboswitches are metabolite binding domains within certain messenger RNAs that serve as precision sensors for their corresponding targets. Allosteric rearrangement of mRNA structure is mediated by ligand binding, and this results in modulation of gene expression. This family includes riboswitches that sense lysine in a number of genes involved in lysine metabolism, including lysC. RNAcentral also lists the same sequence under 1 other name. The record is from RNAcentral. Lineage: Bacteria; Bacillati; Bacillota; Bacilli; Lactobacillales; Lactobacillaceae.